This 347-nucleotide unclassified non-coding RNA is filed under the name soil metagenome. RNAcentral's name for it is "partial contains 5.8S ribosomal RNA, internal transcribed spacer 2, and large subunit ribosomal RNA". The stretch from base 1 to 120 matches the Rfam family "5.8S ribosomal RNA", at positions 35 to 154 of the family's 154-position model. The record is from RNAcentral.
GAUGAAGAACGCAGCGAAAUGCGAUAAGUAAUGUGAAUUGCAGAAUUCAGUGAAUCAUCGAGUCUUUGAACGCACAUUGCGCCCCCUGGUAUUCCGGGGGGCAUGCCUGUCCGAGCGUCAUUGCUGCCCUCAAGCACGGCUUGUGUGUUGGGCCCCCGCCCCCCGGCUUCGGGGGACGGGCCCGAAAGGCAGCGGCGGCACCGCGUCCGGUCCUCGAGCGUAUGGGGCUUCGUCACCCGCUCUGUAGGCCCGGCCGGCGCCCGCCGGCGACCCCAAUCAAUCUUUCCAGGUUGACCUCGGAUCAGGUAGGGAUACCCGCUGAACUUAAGCAUAUCAUAAGCGGAGGA